UAAAUGGACGACCCUCGUCCCGCCCUCAGGGGGCAUCUGUAAUCACACCACCAGGGUUUUAACCAUAACUAGAGCCGCUGGUUCAGGCGUAGACGUGCUACGGGACACUUCUGUCGAGGUUGGAGCCUAAAUCCCAGGACAAACUAACGUGUCAGUCCUCUCUGUUUCCACUGACGCUCUGAUGGAGUUUGUUUGAUUGUCUGGUUAUAAUCACAGACGGUAAGUCUGUCAGAUUUAAGACAUGUAGAACAACAUAACAGUAACCCAAAGACUCCAGUGGAGAUCCCAGCCACACAAACAUCUGCACGAAGCCUCUCGAGUGCUCAGAGUGUGGACGUCCCUGUAAGUUGAUGCUUAGGACAUGAUGCGUUUCUGGUCCCUGCUGCUGCUGGUUCACUUCUCUCUGGCUCAGUCUGGUCUGGACUCAGAGUACACAGACACAGGUAAGAAGCGUCAUGGGCGCUCUGUCUAAAUGUGCUUUUGCUGACAAGC
Astatotilapia calliptera (eastern happy) is the source of this 492-nucleotide long non-coding RNA. Lineage: Eukaryota; Metazoa; Chordata; Actinopteri; Cichliformes; Cichlidae. The record is from Ensembl.